UACGUAUGGAGCAAGCGUUAUCCGGAUUUACUGGGUGUAAAGGGAGCGUAGGCGGCGGCCUAAGUCUGAUGUGAAAACCCGGGGCUCAACUCCGGGAUUGCAUUGGAAACUGGGCAGCUGGAGUGUCGGAGGGGCAGGCGGAAUUCCCAGUGUAGCGGUGAAAUGCAUAGAUAUUGGGAGGAACACCAGUGGCGAAGGCGGCCUGCUGGACGAUAACUGACGCUGAGGCUCGAAAGCGUGGGGAGCAAAC
Molecule: ribosomal RNA, 250 nt
Filed under: uncultured prokaryote
Description: partial 16S ribosomal RNA
Rfam family: Bacterial small subunit ribosomal RNA
Source: RNAcentral